GAUAGCUCUUGAUUUGCCUGUGGGAAAAUGAUUUAAUUAACAACAAAAUAACUAUAAUUUUCCAGAAAAAGAAAGGACACCCGAAAACUUUAGAAAAUUUAACCGCACGUUGCAACGUGCGGUUAAAUUUUCGGGAGAGAAACUCACUGUUUUCUUUGAUAUCUGGUUUUGUGUAAUCGCUUUAGGCGAUGGCUUCAAAUAAGUUAUAAGAUUCGGGGACUAGCUCGGACCACAAUAAUCCAACUUUUUAACUAAUUAAAGAGCCUGUAGGAUUGAAAGUUUCCACCUGUUAAAUUAUUAAAAAUAAGUAGUGGAACUACUUAUUUUUAAUAAUUUGGAUUUUAACAACAUAAAACUAGUUUUAUGUUGUUAACCUAUUAAAAUUAGUAAAUUUAUUAUAUUUUAUGAUCAAACUCAAUCAAUAACGAACUGUUUAUCAAAAACAUUUUUCUAAUUUUUUAGAAUAACUUCUGCUCAAUGAUAUUAAAUAGCUGCUUAAGCACGAAGGUAGCAUAAUCAUUUGCCCCCUAAUUAGGGGCUUGUAUGAAGGGAGUUUUUGUUAUUUUUCUUGGUAUAAAAUAAUAUUAAAAUUAGAAUAAUAGUGAAAAUCCUAUUAUAAAUCAAAAAGAUGAAAAGACCCCGUAGAGCUUACUAAAUUAUUAACUAGACAUCAGUUACUGAUGUCUAGUUAAUAAUUUAGUUGGUUGGGGCGACCCGCUAAUAUAACCAAGCUAUUUUAAAAAUAUUGAAUUAGAUCCUAAAAGAUUGAGGAUUAGCUACCUCGGGGAUAAUAGCAUAAUUCGCUGUCCAAGUUCUUAUUGGACAGCGAGGUUUUGACUUCGAUGUUGGAUCAAGUUAAGCCUCCAGAAGUAUGGAGCAAUCUGCAAUGUCUGUUCGACAUAAGUGACUUACGUGAUCUGAGUUCAGACCGG
RNAcentral lists this ribosomal RNA (932 nucleotides) under Batillipes pennaki. Its description in RNAcentral is "partial 16S ribosomal RNA". The record is from RNAcentral. Lineage: Eukaryota; Metazoa; Tardigrada; Heterotardigrada; Arthrotardigrada; Batillipedidae.